Molecule: non-coding RNA, 257 nt
Filed under: Clostridium sp.
Lineage: Bacteria; Bacillati; Bacillota; Clostridia; Eubacteriales; Clostridiaceae
Description: T-box sequence
Rfam family: T-box leader
About the family: Uncharged tRNA acts as the effector for transcription antitermination of genes in the T-box leader family. T-boxes are found upstream of many aminoacyl-tRNA synthetase genes and some amino acid biosynthetic genes usually in Gram-positive bacteria.
Source: RNAcentral
GAAAAUUCUGUGAAGAGGAAAGUAGUUUAAUUAAUUCCUUAAGCGAAUAGGGGAACGGUGUAAGCCCUAUGGAUAGAUUAAUAUGAAGAGAGCCUUGGAGAAGUCACCUGAAAUAGAUAGAGAAAAGAUAAAUUAUAGAUAUUAUCUUUUUAUAUUUUGAGUAAGGAGGAUCGCAAGAAAUUUGCGUUAAAAGUUAAGGGGUAUCUUAUUUAUAUAAGAUACAAUUAGAGUGGUACCGCGGAUAGUUCGUCUCUUAU